CCCUAGCCCAGAGAGCAGUGGAAAGCCACGCAAAAUAAAACAACUCUUUUUAUCAGUUUUAAAAAGCGACCAAAGGAAGCUCUUUUAAAACUUUAUAAAAAUGUUGCUUUUAUGAAGUGCUUGAAACGAAUCGCUGGAUUAGCU
Molecule: unclassified non-coding RNA, 144 nt
Filed under: Flavobacterium degerlachei
Lineage: Bacteria; Pseudomonadati; Bacteroidota; Flavobacteriia; Flavobacteriales; Flavobacteriaceae
Description: Flavo-1 RNA
Source: RNAcentral